GGUGAACGCUGGCGGCGUGCUUAACACAUGCAAGUCGAACGGAGUUUACAUGUGAGCGGAGGGUGCUUGCAUCUAACAAUCUUUUGUAAACUUAGUGGCGGACGGGUGAGUAACGCGUGGGUAACCUGCCGUAUACAGGGGGACAACAGUUGGAAACGACUGCUAAUACCGCAUAAGCGCACAGGACCGCAUGGUCUGGUGUGAAAAGCUCCGGCGGUAUGAGAUGGACCCGCGUCUGAUUAGCUGGUUGGCGGGGUAGCGGCCCACCAAGGCGACGAUCAGUAGCCGGCCUGAGGAGGGUGAACGGCCACAUUGGGACUGAGACACGGCCCAA
This 334-nucleotide ribosomal RNA is filed under the name uncultured bacterium. RNAcentral's name for it is "bacterial SSU rRNA". It matches the Rfam family "Bacterial small subunit ribosomal RNA", at positions 28 to 334 of the family's 1533-position model. The record is from RNAcentral.